RNAcentral lists this ribosomal RNA (30 nucleotides) under fungal sp. 1.48.3C. RNAcentral describes it as "partial 28S ribosomal RNA". The record is from RNAcentral. Lineage: Eukaryota; Fungi.
ACCUCGGAUCAGGUACGGUGAUACCCGCUG